AUGAACGCUGGCGGCGUGCCUAAUCCAUGCCAGUCGAGCGAACAGACGAGGAGCUUGCUCCUCUGACGUUAGCGGCGGACGGGUGAGUAACACGUGGAUAACCUACCUAUAAGACUGGGAUAACUUCGGGAAACCGGAGCUAAUACCGGAUAAUAUAUUGAACCGCAUGGUUCAAUAGUGAAAGACGGUUUUGCUGUCACUUAUAGAUGGAUCCGCGCCGCAUUAGCUAGUUGGUAAGGUAACGGCUUACCAAGGCGACGAUGCGUAGCCGACCUGAGAGGGUGAUCGGCCACACUGGAACUGAGACACGGUCCAGACUCCUACGGGAGGCAGCAGUAGGGAAUCUUCCGCAAUGGGCGAAAGCCUGACGGAGCAACGCCGCGUGAGUGAUGAAGGUCUUCGGAUCGUAAAACUCUGUUAUUAGGGAAGAACAAAUGUGUAAGUAACUAUGCACGUCUUGACGGUACCUAAGCAGAAAGCCACGGCUAACUACGU
RNAcentral lists this ribosomal RNA (495 nucleotides) under uncultured bacterium. RNAcentral describes it as "partial 16S ribosomal RNA". It matches the Rfam family "Bacterial small subunit ribosomal RNA", at positions 29 to 506 of the family's 1533-position model. The record is from RNAcentral.